GGGCCCGUAGCUCAGUCAGGUUAGAGCAUUGGCCUUUUAAGCCAAGGGUCAGGGGUUCGAAUCCCCUCGGGCCCG
Molecule: transfer RNA, 75 nt
Filed under: Candidatus Woesearchaeota archaeon
Lineage: Archaea; Nanobdellati; Candidatus Woesearchaeota
Description: tRNA-Lys
Rfam family: tRNA
About the family: Transfer RNA (tRNA) molecules are approximately 80 nucleotides in length. Their secondary structure includes four short double-helical elements and three loops (D, anti-codon, and T loops). Further hydrogen bonds mediate the characteristic L-shaped molecular structure. tRNAs have two regions of fundamental functional importance: the anti-codon, which is responsible for specific mRNA codon recognition, and the 3' end, to which the tRNAs corresponding amino acid is attached (by aminoacyl-tRNA synthetases). tRNAs cope with the degeneracy of the genetic code in two manners: having more than one tRNA (with a specific anti-codon) for a particular amino acid; and 'wobble' base-pairing, i.e. permitting non-standard base-pairing at the 3rd anti-codon position.
Source: RNAcentral